UACAGAGGUCUCAAGCGUUGUUCGGAUUCAUUGGGCGUAAAGGGUGCGUAGGUGGCGUCGUAAGUCGGGUGUGAAAUUUCGGAGCUUAACUCCGAAACUGCAUUCGAUACUGCGGUGCUUGAGGACUGGAGAGGAGACUGGAAUUUACGGUGUAGCAGUGAAAUGCGUAGAGAUCGUAAGGAAGACCAGUGGCGAAGGCGGGUCUCUGGACAGUUCCUGACACUGAGGCACGAAGGCCAGGGGAGCAAAACGG
This 253-nucleotide ribosomal RNA is filed under the name uncultured bacterium. RNAcentral's name for it is "partial 16S ribosomal RNA". It matches the Rfam family "Bacterial small subunit ribosomal RNA", at positions 524 to 776 of the family's 1533-position model. The record is from RNAcentral.